AGCUUUGUUCUGUCGCCCGCAAUGCAGUUUUAUCCGGUAAAGCGAAUGAUUAGAGGUCUUGAGGCCAAAACUAUCUCAACCUAUUCUCAAACUUUAAAUGGGUAAGAAGCCCGGCUCGCUGGCGUGGAGCCGGGCAUGGAAUGUGAGUGCCUAGUGGGCCACUUUUGGUAAGCAGAACUGGCGCUGCGGGAUGAACCAAACGACGGGUUAAGGCGCCCAACGUGGGGAUUAAACCAAUGCCCCGAAGGCAGGGUGAUCUCAGACAAAAUGAUUAUGUAAAUAGACCAUAGCA
RNAcentral lists this non-coding RNA (292 nucleotides) under Erinaceus europaeus (western European hedgehog). Its description in RNAcentral is "Eukaryotic large subunit ribosomal RNA". It matches the Rfam family "Eukaryotic large subunit ribosomal RNA", at positions 986 to 1272 of the family's 3401-position model. Lineage: Eukaryota; Metazoa; Chordata; Mammalia; Eulipotyphla; Erinaceidae. The record is from Rfam by way of RNAcentral.